CGGUCAACUUACCCCAUACUCUAACCUGAAUGCAGGGAUCAUAAAACUUUAUCUUUUACCUUAAUUGUUAGAUGGGUGUUGAUACCAAACUUUUUUUUCUCGUCUACCCAGGAGAAAGUCAUGGGUUCUGCUGCUGAGUGUCUUUUAUUCUGCUUACCUGACUCAUGCAGAAUUCUGGCUUGAUGUUUGGUCCACCUGUUAGCUGGCUCUGGUGCUUGGUAGUCUUCUCAAACCUCUGAAUCAAGACCACCAUGAGAGGCCUUCUGAAGACCAUCAUUACGCUGCAGAUCCAGUGGUCUUUACUAUGAGAUAGAACUGAACUGGAGUCUGUGAACUAAUGCUGUGUUCGAGACAACUUGGAUGUUUGAUAUUAUUGACCUCAAACCCAUAAGAAGUCUGGAACAGUAAACAAAGUUGAGUAUCCGACCUCUCAACUUGGGACAGAUCCAUCAACACCGACCUCAACGAGAUGCGUAAUUUGACAUUGCAGACAAGCUCUUAAGGAUGAAGCACCCUGAUCUACUAAGAUGCACAGAUUCAACUCUGGCCCAGCAUCAUCCCCACACCUCAUCUGCCAUCAGUUUAAUUUAAUGUCUGUCAAUUGCAAAUGCUAUUUCAGUUAUAUUACAACUUAAUAUUAACUUUAAUUGAGACUAGUAUUGUGUAAAGCUGGGGUUUCCAAACUGUUCAUUUUAAAACCUAUUAGACAAGUAUAAUCUAUUCUAGACCCACUAAAAUAUUUUUAAAUAUACAUUUUUUUAAUGGGGUAAAACACAUUUGUUCUCUUUCAGUGGAGUCAUUUUAUUUUCAUAAUAUUUCAUAAUGUGAA
Molecule: non-coding RNA, 829 nt
Organism: Paramisgurnus dabryanus
Lineage: Eukaryota; Metazoa; Chordata; Actinopteri; Cypriniformes; Cobitidae
Source: RefSeq, a predicted model, not a curated record